Molecule: ribosomal RNA, 243 nt
Filed under: uncultured bacterium
Lineage: Bacteria
Description: partial 16S ribosomal RNA
Rfam family: Bacterial small subunit ribosomal RNA
Source: RNAcentral
AUAAUUCGNCGAACGCUGGCGGCAGGUUCUAACACAUGCAAGUCGAGCGCCCCACUUGUGGGGAGCGGCGGACUGGUUAGUAACGCGUGGGAACGUGCCCUUUUCUGCGGAAUAGCCUCUGGAAACGGAGAGUAAUACCGCAUACGCCCUUUUGGGGAAAGAUUUAUCGGAGAAGGAUCGGCCCGCGUUAGAUUAGGUAGUUGGUGGGGUAAUGGCCUACCANGCCNACNAUUUUUUUUUUGG